This 450-nucleotide ribosomal RNA is filed under the name uncultured bacterium. Its description in RNAcentral is "partial 16S ribosomal RNA". It matches the Rfam family "Bacterial small subunit ribosomal RNA", at positions 338 to 795 of the family's 1533-position model. The record is from RNAcentral.
CCUACGGGGGGCAGCAGUGGGGAAUUUUGGACAAUGGGGGCAACCCUGAUCCAGCCAUGCCGCGUGCGGGAAGAAGGCCUUCGGGUUGUAAACCGCUUUUAGCCGGAAAGAAAAGGCGGAGGCUAAUACCCUCCGUUGUUGACGGUACCGGCGGAAUAAGCACCGGCUAACUACGUGCCAGCAGCCGCGGUAAUACGUAGGGUGCGAGCGUGAAUCGGAGUUACUGGGCGUAAAUCGUGCGCAGGCGGUUGAAAGCCCCGGGCUCAACCUGGGAACGGCAUUGGAAACUGGCGGACUGGAGUGCGGCAGAGGGGGGUGGAAUUCCGCGUGUAGCAGUGAAAUGCGUAGAGAUGCGGAGGAACACCGAUGGCGAAGGCAGCCCCCUGGGCCGACACUGACGCUCAGGCACGAAAGCGUGGGGAGCAAACAGGAUUAGAUACCCUAGUAGUC